GGGCGACGUAUCCCUCUUGGUUCCUCCAGGAGUUCGUCCCGUCGGUUGGCAGCGUGGUACAUUCCCCUCUCCACAUCGGUGUUCGUGUUUUCGAGAAUCUUUCAAUGGAUAUAGAGCGACAAAUUUUGAAAAGACAUCGAUCGUAACGAGGAUGUGUUUCAUCCCGCCCUGAGAGGCUGGCAAAGGACCGAAAAAAUCGAUUGAAACGAUAUCUCCGGGUCCUUCCGGAAUGAUGUUUUGCUGUGCCGCAUAUGAAUGCUGAUUCGGAACCUUGUUUCUUUGGCACGAAUCGCAUGAUGCGAGAAUCUGCCUUAUGACACGAUACAUCCCCGGGUAAGUAAAAUCCUCGUCUAUAAUUUUCCAAA
Venturia canescens is the source of this 365-nucleotide long non-coding RNA. RefSeq lists it as uncharacterized. The record is from RefSeq and is a predicted model, not a curated record. NCBI's taxonomy places the organism in Eukaryota, Metazoa, Arthropoda, Insecta, Hymenoptera, Ichneumonidae. The transcript has 4 exons.